UGUGUGCUUCUUUCUUUAAGCCCCUUUGUUAGUCUCUUUUUCAGCGUUUUCCUGUUAAAGAAAUUUGCUAGACUUGUUUCUUCUAAAACCAGUGCUCUCUGCUACGAAGUGUUUUAUGUGAAAAAUAAACACUUUCGAUAACAUACAAAGAAAAGGCUUUUCCUGUUCAUCUCACCCAAUUAGUGUAUUCUCUACAAGUCUAAGGGUGAAAACUGCCAAGGUUAACAUACAUGCUAUAAAACAAUCGAUUGGUUAAAAAUCAUAGUUUUCAAAACCGGACCGGACCGGACCGGUAAAACCGGUAUCUGUUCAACCCUCCGGGUCCAAUUAUACUGUAAACCGCUAAAUCCUAAAAACCGUUGAAAAUGUCAAAAAACCGCUGACCCAAAUGGUCAAACCGUUAAAUCGUUCGACCCAGACAGUGGUUCGCGGGUUACGAAUUUCAUUUUCAUUGAUUUAAAAAAAUAAUAAAAACAAAAAAAAAACACUUACGAAUUAGGCCUUUAGGGUUAGACCCUCCUCUCAGUCUCAUACCCCGACUCACGACUGAUGGCGACCGGCGAUGGCGGUGAACUUCACCUACGGCGGUUUGCAUUUUAUAACUAGCAACAACCUCUAUUUAUCAAGGACUUGCAGCGGCCAACCGCUGGUGACUACGAUGGAGUCACCGGUUUUGGGUAAAAAUCCACAAGAUUUGGCAUAGAAACCGUCGGCGACCAAGAUUUGGCAUAGCAUCUCCUUUGACCAAAGAAGAGAACAACGACACCCGCGUUUUCAACUGAAGAUUUGUAACGGCCAACAACCUUCGUGCACUUGAAGGCGACGACCAAGAUUUGUAGCGGCCAACUUUUGGCAAACAGCAAGCACACUUGCGUCUCCGAACAAUCAACCGCUGGCGACCAAGAUUUACAGCGGCAACUGGCCAACAUAGUGGAAGGAUUGCAUCGGCCAGCUUGUAUUGAAGCUUUCUUGCACCGACAACCACCUCUUGCUCCCAAAUCUCUGCGCAUUAGUCACUCCCCUUCCCCCUUUUUUUUUUUAAUAUUGGGUCUUUCUUGCACCGACAACCAUCUCUUGCUCUGGCUAGCAUGUAUUGAGCGGCGGAAACCUCUACAACAGCCAUUAAAGCCGAGCUGCCUGGUGGGUCUCUGCCGAUAACGGAUACUCUGAGGUUGCGACCGAAGAGUUUGGGGCUGGAUUUGCUAGCUAAGAUAUGGAAUCUACGGGGAUUUGGUUUGGAUGAGAGAGAUUUAGUUAGGGAGAGGGAAUGAUAAUUCUCUAAUGUGGUUUUCCGGAGGCCAAUGAAGCUAUUAACGGUAGCGCGUCGGAAAUGGGUGAUUUUCCAGACACAAUUGGCGGUGUUGGUGGAAAAUAGGGAGUUUAUGGCAGUAGUGGACGCCAUCCUUGCUGGCCUCUGGUGUGGUAUCUGAAGUCUGAACAGAGUCCACCAAGAGUUGGAGACUCUUCAAAUGCUGAAUUACUAGCAGACUGUUGAAAGAAUCAGCUCAAGCAAGAGUCCUUGUGAUAGAAGGGGACUAGGGGACUCAAAAGUGGUGGAAGGGUAGUUGACAGAUCUAGAUUUUGUGACGUGGUGCUAUAGGAAUGAAAUAAAGAGAAUAUGAAUAAGCAUGCAAGAUGGGAAGGGAAGCAAAUCUUUGGCUGAUUGUUUAGCCAAGCAAGCAAGGGGUUAAUAGGGAGUGGUUGUUUUGGGCUCAGUUGUAACUUUCUGUUUGUAUUAACCUGUCUUGUUGGGGAGGACAUGGUUCGCACCUCUUAGGGAUACUGGUAUUGCUUUAAUCUUUUGAGUAAUAAAGUUUUAUUCAAUGAAAAAAAAAGACCAAUUGGCAUACUUUGCAAUGCUUAUUCUACAGCCGGAGGAGCCUUGUAUAAAUAAGCUUACUUUGAAUUACAUCACAGUGGAAAAAAGCAUAUUAAGCACCAAUUCAUCUUGACAAGGAAAUAUUUGAGAACAAUAUCUAAGAGAUGCUGCAUGUAUCUUUUUUGCAUUUUAAAUUUUCCAAGAGAUGGAUACCAUCAAUAUUUAUUUUUCCUACAGUGCAUGGUACAUGCUCAUACUUGACGUGGG
Nelumbo nucifera (sacred lotus) is the source of this 2086-nucleotide non-coding RNA. NCBI's taxonomy places the organism in Eukaryota, Viridiplantae, Streptophyta, Magnoliopsida, Proteales, Nelumbonaceae. The record is from RefSeq and is a predicted model, not a curated record.